RNAcentral lists this ribosomal RNA (450 nucleotides) under Triticum aestivum (bread wheat). RNAcentral's name for it is "partial small subunit ribosomal RNA". Lineage: Eukaryota; Viridiplantae; Streptophyta; Magnoliopsida; Poales; Poaceae. The record is from RNAcentral.
GAUCCCUAGUGUGUAGUGAUGGAGAAGGUGGAAGGGAUGUUGCGGAAGAUGAAUCUGUCGGAAGCGGAGAAGAAGGGAGUGAAGGUGGGGUGGAGAAGAUCCAUGCAGAAGCAGAAGGAGGAUGCUGACCUGAAGGCGAUGGGGAAGCUAAUGUCCGACAAGCCGGGAUACACGGGAGGGAUGGAGGUGGCGCUGGGGAAAGCUUGGUGCCCAAUGAAGAGAUUGGAAGUGAAGGACAUGGGGGAGAAUAGAUUUCUGUUUGUGUUCCAGGAGGAGAUGGGGAGGAGGAAGGCGGUGGAGAAUGGUCCCUGGACGUUCAAUAAGGAUCUGCUUGUGGUAGAGGAAUUUGAUCCGGCCAAGACCAUAGACGAAUACACUUUUGAGAAGGUCCCAAUUUGGGUUCGCAUAUACAAUGUGCCGCUGGGGAUGAUGUGCAAGGAUCUGGCUGAG